Molecule: ribosomal RNA, 628 nt
Filed under: Ustilago pamirica
Lineage: Eukaryota; Fungi; Basidiomycota; Ustilaginomycetes; Ustilaginales; Ustilaginaceae
Description: LSU rRNA
Rfam family: Eukaryotic large subunit ribosomal RNA
Source: RNAcentral
CGGAGGAAAAGAAACUAACAAGGAUUCCCCUAGUAACGGCGAGUGAAGAGGGAAGAGCCCAAGAUUGAAAGCUGGCGUCUUUGGCGUCCGCAUUGUAAUCUCAAGAAGUGUUUUCCGCUUCGGACCAUGCCUAAGUCCCUUGGAAAAGGGCAUCAUAGAGGGUGAUAAUCCCGUACAUGGCAUGGAGCGCCCGAAGCUUUGUGAUACACUUUCUAAGAGUCGAGUUGUUUGGGAAUGCAGCUCAAAAUGGGUGGUAAAUGCCAUCUAAGGCUAAAUAUUGGGGAGAGACCGAUAGCGAACAAGUACAGUGAUGGAAAGAUGAAAAGAACUUUGAAAAGAGAGUUAAACAGUACGUGAAAUUGCCAAAAGGGAAGGGUAGGAGGUCAGAGAUGCGGUCUGGGAUUCAGCCUUGCUUUUGCUGGGUGUUUUUCUCAGAUUGCAGGCCAACGUCGGUUUUGGGCGCUGGAGAAGGGUGGAAGGAAUGUGGCACCUCUCGGGGUGUGUUAUAGCCUUCUACUGGAUACAGUGACCGAGACCGAGGACAGCAGCGUACUCGCAAGAGCGGGCCUUCGGGCACCUUUACGCUUAGGGCGUUGGCAUAAUGGCCCUCUACCACCCGUCUUGAAAA